This 491-nucleotide ribosomal RNA is filed under the name uncultured bacterium. Its description in RNAcentral is "partial 16S ribosomal RNA". It matches the Rfam family "Bacterial small subunit ribosomal RNA", at positions 28 to 507 of the family's 1533-position model. The record is from RNAcentral.
GAUGAACGCUGGCUACAGGCUUAACACAUGCAAGUCGAGGGGAAACGACGGGGAAGCUUGCUUCCCCGGGCGUCGACCGGCGCACGGGUGAGUAACGCGUAUCCAACCUGCCUCUGACUGAGGGAUAACCCGUCGAAAGUCGGCCUAAUACCUCAUGGCAUCGUCUGCGGGCAUCCAACGACGAUUAAAGAUUUCAUCGGUCAGGGAUGGGGAUGCGUCUGAUUAGCUUGUUGGCGGGGUAACGGCCCACCAAGGCUACGAUCAGUAGGGGUUCUGAGAGGAAGGUCCCCCACAUUGGAACUGAGACACGGUCCAAACUCCUACGGGAGGCAGCAGUGAGGAAUAGUGGUCAAUGGGCGGGAGCCUGAACCAGCCAAGUAGCGUGCAGGAUGACGGCCCUAUGGGUUGUAAACUGCUUUUAUGCGGGGAUAAAGUGGGGGACGUGUCCUUCAUUGCAGGUACCGCAUGAAUAAGGACCGGCUAAUUCCGUG